This 19-nucleotide non-coding RNA is filed under the name Chlamydomonas reinhardtii. Lineage: Eukaryota; Viridiplantae; Chlorophyta; Chlorophyceae; Chlamydomonadales; Chlamydomonadaceae. RNAcentral also lists the same sequence under 1 other name. The record is from RNAcentral.
UUAGUGACGCGCAUGAAUG